Molecule: ribosomal RNA, 468 nt
Filed under: uncultured bacterium
Lineage: Bacteria
Description: partial 16S ribosomal RNA
Rfam family: Bacterial small subunit ribosomal RNA
Source: RNAcentral
GACGAACGCUGGCGGCGUGCUUAACACAUGCAAGUCGAACGGAAAGGACCUGCUUUUGUGGGGUGCUCGAGUGGCGAACGGGUGAGUAACACGUGAGUAACCUGCCCUUGACUUUGGGAUAACUUCAGGAAACUGGGGCGAAUACCGGAUAGGAGCUCCUGCUGCAUGGUGGGGGUGGGAAAGUUUUGGCGGUUGGGGAUGGACUCGCGGCUCAUCAGCUUGUUGGUGGGGUAGUGGCUUACCAAGGCUUUGACGGGUAGCUGGCCUGAGAGGGUGACCGGCCACAUUGGGACUGAGAUACGGCCAAGACUCCUACGGGGGGCAGCGGUGGGGAAUAUUGCACGAUGGGCGGAAGCCUGGUGCAGCAACGCCGCGUGCGGGAUGACGGCCUUCGGGUUGUAACCCGCUUUCGCCUGUGACGAAGCGUGAGUGACGGUAAUGGGUAAAGAAGCACCGGCUAACUACGUG